Molecule: ribosomal RNA, 566 nt
Filed under: Debaryomyces hansenii
Lineage: Eukaryota; Fungi; Ascomycota; Pichiomycetes; Serinales; Debaryomycetaceae
Description: partial large subunit ribosomal RNA
Rfam family: Eukaryotic large subunit ribosomal RNA
Source: RNAcentral
AUUGCCUUAGUACGGCGAGUGAAGCGGCAAAAGCUCAAAUUUGAAAUCUGGCACCUUCGGUGUCCGAGUUGUAAUUUGAAGAAGGUAACUUUGGAGUUGGCUCUUGUCUAUGUUCCUUGGAACAGGACGUCACAGAGGGUGAGAAUCCCGUGCGAUGAGAUGCCCAAUUCUAUGUAAAGUGCUUUCGAAGAGUCGAGUUGUUUGGGAAUGCAGCUCUAAGUGGGUGGUAAAUUCCAUCUAAAGCUAAAUAUUGGCGAGAGACCGAUAGCGAACAAGUACAGUGAUGGAAAGAUGAAAAGAACUUUGAAAAGAGAGUGAAAAAGUACGUGAAAUUGUUGAAAGGGAAGGGCUUGAGAUCAGACUUGGUAUUUUGCGAUCCUUUCCUUCUUGGUUGGGUUCCUCGCAGCUUACUGGGCCAGCAUCGGUUUGGAUGGUAGGAUAAUGACUAAGGAAUGUGGCUCUACUUCGGUGGAGUGUUAUAGCCUUGGUUGAUACUGCCUGUCUAGACCGAGGACUGCGUCUUUUGACUAGGAUGUUGGCAUAAUGAUCUUAAGCCACCAGUCUUA